AGCGGGGGAUAACAUUUGGAAACAGAUGCUAAUACCGCAUAACAACAAAAGCCACAUGGCUUUUGUUUGAAAGAUGGCUUUGGCUAUCACUCUGGGAUGGACCUGCGGUGCAUUAGCUAGUUGGUAAGGUAACGGCUUACCAAGGCGAUGAUGCAUAGCCGAGUUGAGAGACUGAUCGGCCACAAUGGAACUGAGACACGGUCCAUACUCCUACGGGAGGCAGCAGUAGGGAAUCUUCCACAAUGGGCGCAAGCCUGAUGGAGCAACACCGCGUGAGUGAAGAAGGGUUUCGGCUCGUAAAGCUCUGUUGUUGGAGAAGAACGUGCGUGAGAGUAACUGUUCACGCAGUGACGGUAUCCAACCAGAAAGUCACGGCUAACUACGUGCCAGCAGCCGCGGUAAUACGUAGGUGGCAAGCGUUAUCCGGAUUUAUUGGGCGUAAAGCGAGCGCAGGCGGUUGCUUAGGUCUGAUGUGAAAGCCUUCGGCUUAACCGAAGAAGUGCAUCGGAAACCGGGCGACUUGAGUGCAGAAGAGGACAGUGGAACUCCAUGUGUAGCGGUGGAAUGCGUAGAUAUAUGGAAGAACACCAGUGGCGAAGGCGGCUGUCUGGUCUGCAACUGACGCUGAGGCUCGAAAGCAUGGGUAGCGAACAGGAUUAGAUACCCUGGUAGUCCAUGCCGUAAACGAUGAGUGCUAGGUGUUGGAGGGUUUCCGCCCUUCAGUGCCGGAGCUAACGCAUUAAGCACUCCGCCUGGGGAGUACGACCGCAAGGUUGAAACUCAAAGGAAUUGACGGGGGCCCGCACAAGCGGUGGAGCAUGUGGUUUAAUUCGAAGCUACGCGAAGAACCUUACCAGGUCUUGACAUCUUGCGCUAACCUUAGAGAUAAGGCGUUCCCUUCGGGGACGCAAUGACAGGUGGUGCAUGGUCGUCGUCAGCUCGUGUCGUGAGAUGUUGGGUUAAGUCCCGCAACGAGCGCAACCCUUGUUACUAGUUGCCAGCAUUAAGUUGGGCACUCUAGUGAGACUGCCGGUGACAAACCGGAGGAAGGUGGGGACGACGUCAGAUCAUCAUGCCCCUUAUGACCUGGGCUACACACGUGCUACAAUGGACGGUACAACGAGUCGCAAGCUCGCGAGAGUAAGCUAAUCUCUUAAAGCCGUUCUCAGUUCGGACUGUAGGCUGCAACUCGCCUACACGAAGUCGGAAUCGCUAGUAAUCGCGGAUCAGCAUGCCGCGGUGAAUACGUUCCCGGGCCUUGCACACACCGCCCGUCA
RNAcentral lists this ribosomal RNA (1277 nucleotides) under uncultured bacterium. Its description in RNAcentral is "bacterial SSU rRNA". It matches the Rfam family "Bacterial small subunit ribosomal RNA", at positions 135 to 1399 of the family's 1533-position model. The record is from RNAcentral.